UACGAGGGGGGCUAGCGUUGUUCGGAAUCACUGGGCGUAAAGCGCGCGUAGGCGGCCACGCAAGUCAGAGGUGAAAUCCCAGGGCUCAACCCUGGAAUUGCCUUUGAAACUGCAUGGCUAGAGUUCGGUAGAGGGUGGUGGAAUUCCUAGUGUAGAGGUGAAAUUCGUAGAUAUUAGGAGGAACACCAGUGGCGAAGGCGGCCACCUGGGCCGAUACUGACGCUGAAGUGCGAAAGCGUGGGGAGCAAACAGG
This 253-nucleotide ribosomal RNA is filed under the name uncultured bacterium. RNAcentral describes it as "partial 16S ribosomal RNA". It matches the Rfam family "Bacterial small subunit ribosomal RNA", at positions 524 to 776 of the family's 1533-position model. The record is from RNAcentral.